GCCAGGUGCCGUGGUGCGCACCUGUAGUCCCAGCUACUUAGGAGGCUGAGUUGGGAGGCUCGCUUGAGCCCAGGAGCAGAGGCUGCAGUAAGCCGAGAUCACCCCACUGCACUCCAGCCUGGGCGACAGAGUGAGACCUCAUCUCAA
Molecule: non-coding RNA, 147 nt
Filed under: Gorilla gorilla gorilla (western lowland gorilla)
Lineage: Eukaryota; Metazoa; Chordata; Mammalia; Primates; Hominidae
Source: Rfam by way of RNAcentral